Non-coding RNA from Schistosoma mansoni, 45 nucleotides. Lineage: Eukaryota; Metazoa; Platyhelminthes; Trematoda; Strigeidida; Schistosomatidae. The record is from Rfam.
GUCCAGCUGAUGAGCCCCAAAUAGGAUGAAACGCGUUUCCUGAAC